UGGGGAAUCUUGUGCAAUGGGGGCAACCCUGACACAGCGACGCCGCGUGUGUGAAGAAGGCCUUCGGGUUGUAAAGCACUGUCAGGAGGGAAGAAACCCGGCGAGUCCGGCGUGACGGUACCUCCACAGGAAGCACCGGCCAACUCCGUGCCAGCAGCCGCGGUAAUACGGAGGGUGCCAGCGUUGUUCGGAAUCAUUGGGCGUAAAGCGUAGGUAGGCGGCCAGGCAAGUCUGAUGUGAAAGCCCAGAGCUUAACUCUGGAGGCGCAUUGGAAACUGUUUGGCUUGAGUCCGGGAAGGGCCAGUGGAAUUCGUGGUGUAGGGGUGAAAUCCGUAGAUAUCACGAAGAACACCGGCGGCGAAAGCGACUGGCUGGACCGGAACUGACGCUCAGCUACGAAAGCGUAGGUAGCGAACA
This 417-nucleotide ribosomal RNA is filed under the name uncultured bacterium. RNAcentral describes it as "bacterial SSU rRNA". It matches the Rfam family "Bacterial small subunit ribosomal RNA", at positions 355 to 774 of the family's 1533-position model. The record is from RNAcentral.